ACAUGCAAACUCCACACAGAAAGGACCUGGACCGCCCAUACCUGGGGAUCGAACCCAGGACCUUCUUGCUGUGAGGCGACAGUGCUACCCACUUAGCCAACAUGCCGCCCUCUGUGGAUCAUUUAAAAAGAUGAAGGGAACGUCGCCGGAUAAAGAACGGAUCAUCAUAGAACAACAGAGACGUGAAGUUUUGACUAAUGAGGACACAAAUGAGGAUGUGUUCAAAACACACGAGGAGCAACAGAACCACUGCAGCAUCCGCAGAGCAUCAGAUAUUUUAAAGAAAGAAACCAGAUCUGUACAAGUGGACGACAACGACAAAGUGACCUCUGCCCUCUGAGAACAGCUCUGUAUCAUGUGGCUGGUUUCAGAGCAGGUCCUGUUUGAGCCGCACGUUUGAUCUGAAGAGGCGAACGCUGCUGCGCUGUUGCUUUUAUCAAAACCACAGAAUGGAUUUAAUCACCAAUUCUACACGUAAUCACACAUAAUGACAAGAAAACUCAGAGAAAUCAGAAAUCUCUUCUUUACAGGAUUAAACCUCGUUAUUCAGUUAUUCAGUGGCAUUAUUGUGUAUUUUAUCAGUUUAAGAAUUCUGGGCCCUGCUCCUGUUGGAUGUCAGGAUCACAUCAGGACGAUGGAUAAAUACGAUAUUUUAUAACAUGAACAAGAGUAAAGAAAAUCAAAAAGUCUUUUCUCCAGUCCUCGACAUGUAAUCAGUACUAGAACCACUGAACAGAACAGUUCUAAUAAUGAAUUAUUUAAUUAAUUUCUAUCUUAUUGUAUAUAUUCACCAUAU
This is a long non-coding RNA of Trichomycterus rosablanca, 796 nucleotides long. RefSeq lists it as uncharacterized. The transcript is spliced from 4 exons. The record is from RefSeq and is a predicted model, not a curated record. Lineage: Eukaryota; Metazoa; Chordata; Actinopteri; Siluriformes; Trichomycteridae.